This 467-nucleotide ribosomal RNA is filed under the name uncultured bacterium. RNAcentral describes it as "partial 16S ribosomal RNA". It matches the Rfam family "Bacterial small subunit ribosomal RNA", at positions 28 to 506 of the family's 1533-position model. The record is from RNAcentral.
GACGAACGCUGGCGGCGUGCUUAACACAUGCAAGUCGAACGGAAAGGCCCUGCUUUUGUGGGGUGCUCGAGUGGCGAACGGGUGAGUAACACGUGAGUAACCUGCCCUUGACUUUGGGAUAACUUCAGGAAACUGGGGCUAAUACCGGAUAGGAGCCCCUGCUGCAUGGUGGGGGUUGGAAAGUUUCGGCGGUUGGGGAUGGACUCGCGGCUUAUCAGCUUGUUGGUGGGGUAGUGGCUUACCAAGGCUUUGACGGGUAGCCGGCCUGAGAGGGUGACCGGCCACAUUGGGACUGAGAUACGGCCCAGACUCAUACGGGAGGCAGCAGUGGGGAAUAUUGCACAAUGGGCGGAAGCCUGAUGCAGCAACGCCGCGUGCGGGAUGACGGCCUUCGGGUUGUAAACCGCUUUCGCCUGUGACGAAGCGUGAGUGACGGUAAUGGGUAAAGAAGCACCGGCUAACUACGU